UUUCCGUAGGUGAACCUGCGGAAGGAUCAUUGUCGAAACCUGCAAAGACAGAACGACCCGUGGACCGGUGAAUAAUCACUCGGGGGGGAGUGCCCUCGGGCCUUUCUCCCGGAGUCCCCGGCCAAGGCGGUGGGCAAGAUCCACCUCCCGAGCGGGGGGCGAAACUAACAAACCCCGGCGCAGGUCGCGCCAAGGAAAACAAAGAGAGAUGCAUGAGCUCCCCGCGUGCCGGGAACGGCGCGUUGGGAGUUACAUCGUCGUUAUGACAAUCGAAACGACUCUCGGCAACGGAUAUCUCGGCUCUCGCAUCGAUGAAGAACGUAGCGAAAUGCGAUACUUGGUGUGAAUUGCAGAAUCCCGUGAACCAUCGAGUUUUUGAACGCAAGUUGCGCCCAAAGUCGUUAGGCUGAGGGCACGCCUGCCUGGGUGUCACGAAAAGUCGUCGAAUACCCCUCCCCCACCCCUCACGAGCGGGAGCGGCGAGGAGGGACGGCGGAUAUUGGCCUCCCGUGCGCCGGUGCGAGCGGUUGGCCGAAAAAUCUGGUACGCCCCGCGAGGCGGCCGCGACACACGGUGGUUGAAAGCGGACGCUGUCCUCGAACGCCGUCGCGGGCCACAGCCUCGUCUACGGGGAUCCCCGUCGAAGACCCCGACGCCGAGCGUCAUCACGGAGCGACCCCAGGUCAGGCGGGAACACCCGCUGAGUUUAAG
RNAcentral lists this ribosomal RNA (711 nucleotides) under Hylenaea praecelsa. Its description in RNAcentral is "eukaryotic LSU rRNA". The stretch from base 277 to 432 matches the Rfam family "5.8S ribosomal RNA". The record is from RNAcentral. Lineage: Eukaryota; Viridiplantae; Streptophyta; Magnoliopsida; Celastrales; Celastraceae.